This is a long non-coding RNA of Callithrix jacchus (white-tufted-ear marmoset), 1550 nucleotides long. RefSeq lists it as uncharacterized. NCBI's taxonomy places the organism in Eukaryota, Metazoa, Chordata, Mammalia, Primates, Cebidae. The record is from RefSeq and is a predicted model, not a curated record.
UUUUCUGAGAAUGAUGCCCGUUGCAAAACGAAGUAACACAAGACUGGCUCUGAAAUCCCAUUCUGCCUAGUCUUAAUGUUAAAAUGCUUUCCUAGAGCAGAAGGGAAAAAGAGGUAUCAGUGCUUUCGUCCCACAGUUUCUUCUUCACUAAAUGUUACCACUGCCUUUAGAAUGAGUACAUGAAAACACUGCAUUGUAGAAGCAUUAAGUUAAUGCGACUUAGAAAUUAAAUAGUAGCCCGCCUCAUCACACAGAUAAGGUUAGGCUUCUCCAGCCAGGAGCAAUUUCAGUCCUAAUUGUCACAGCUGCCUCAGUGUUGUAAUUUCCGCGCCGCAGCUGCAAGGAGGCAGGGAAGAUUUUUCUCACUGAAUUAAUUCUGGGAAAUUUUCGGUGGUACUUUUCAAAGGCCUUAAAUCACUCUUUUCUAAGAUGUUUUGUUGCUGGUGUCCAGAUGUUCCAGUAAUACUGGAAAGUUAACUAUUCCUUCCAAACCUGUCUCGUUCAAAGUACCUCGAGGAGAAGGGGAAAAAAGGUUCCCACUGGAAAAGUUUCACCGGGGUGGGGUGAGGAUGAGGUCGGAAGAAAACCCCAACAAGUAGCAUUCAUAAUUAUCUAAGUUUCGUUUCCGAAGCUGCACCCGGACGGUCCUCCUCUCCCGUUUCCAGGCCGGGGGGAGACAUGUCUGUCGCCGAGGGGGUUACAGUCACUUAGCUGAGGCCGCCUCCUCUCCAGGAAUCAACCCAGCUCAGAAUCGUGACCCGCUUCCCGAAGUCCGUGACAAGCGGGGGCAGAAGGCAGGUUCUUCUCUCCCCUUCACCCAAACACGUCCCGAAUCGUGCAAGAUCAUUCAACGGAGACGUGGUAACUUUUCUGGAUGGAGCAAUACCUCUUGCUAAUCAGCAUAUACACACCCAGUGUCCUUGCAUGAAGAAACAUCCUGUCUGCAGAAGAUUGCAUCUCAUCUACACAAAGCAGGAGUGGUGUUGUCAGUGUGUGUUUAUUCAAUGGAAUCAACAGCAUGACGGGGAAGUCAAUUCAGUCAUAUGAUGGUGGAUCAGUAUCAUCAUUGCAAAGGAGAGAAGAUUACUGUUAGAUGUAUCACUCUGACUUUCCCCCAUCACUGUGGAAAAAGGAGGGGAAAAACCCUCAAUCAUGAUAGAAAAGAUUCCCUCAGACAUACCUCCUUCAUAAUGACGGUGAGGAUUAUGGAUUAAAAACCCAUCUGUUGACCUUUACUAUCAUGCCUGAAAUAAAGCUCCUAAGGAAAAAAAUGUUAAUUUCAUUUGUAGGAAAGAAGAAAAAAAUGAGUAAAGGAGAGGAAGAAAGAGGAAGAGAAAGAGGGAAAGUGAGUGGAAAUAUUGCUUUAUUCUUAAAAAAAAAUGGGUAUUAAUAAUGGCCAAUCAAUGUUUCAUUUAAACCUGAGUACGUGUGAUGUGGUAUUGACAAGAAUGUAUAUUUUGUGUAUUUGAAGUGGAGAGCUCUAUAAAUAUUUAUUAAGUUUACUUGUUCCGGAUCUGAGUUCGAGUCCUUGAUAUCCUUAUUAAUUUUCU